Molecule: ribosomal RNA, 491 nt
Filed under: Pagurus bernhardus (common hermit crab)
Lineage: Eukaryota; Metazoa; Arthropoda; Malacostraca; Decapoda; Paguridae
Description: partial 16S ribosomal RNA
Rfam family: Bacterial large subunit ribosomal RNA
Source: RNAcentral
CUGAUUAUAUUAAAGAGCCGCAGUAUUCUGACUGUGCGAAGGUAGCAUAAUAAAUUGUCUUUUAAAUGGAGGCUUGAAUGAAAGGUUGGACAAAGUAUCAUCUGUUUCUUAAAUAUUUAUUGAAUUUGACUUUCAAGUGAAAAGGCUUGAAUAAAUUAAAAAGACGAUAAGACCCUAUAAAUCUUUACAAUAAACAUGUUCUAUAUUUUAAUUUAUAAGUGUAUAAAAUAUUAAAUUUGUAUUUGUUUCGCUGGGGCGGCGUGGAUAUAUUAAUAAACUGUCUAUGUGUUAAAUCCAAUAAUUAUUGAUUAGUGAGAUUGAUCCUUAAAUAGAUUAAAAGAUUAAGAUACUUUAGGGAUAACAGCGUUAUUUUUUUUGAGAGUUCUUAUCGAAGAAAAAGUUUGCGACCUCGAUGUUGAAUUAAAGUAUCUUUAUGGUGCAGCCGCUGUAAGAGAGAGUCUGUUCGACUUUUAAUACUUUACAUGAUCUGA